RNAcentral lists this ribosomal RNA (255 nucleotides) under uncultured bacterium. Its description in RNAcentral is "partial 16S ribosomal RNA". It matches the Rfam family "Bacterial small subunit ribosomal RNA", at positions 526 to 779 of the family's 1533-position model. The record is from RNAcentral.
CGAACCACACGAACGUUAUUCGGAAUUACUGGGCUUAAAGGGUGCGUAGGCUGUGCAGAAAGUUAGGUGUGAAAUCCCCCGGCUCAACCGGGGAAUUGCGCUUAAAACUACUGUGCUAGAGGAAUACAGAGGUAAGCGGAACUUCGGGUGGAGCGGUGAAAUGCGUUGAUAUCCGAAGGAACACCGGUGGCGAAAAGCGGCUUACUGGGUAUUUUCUGACGCUGAUGCACGAAAGCUAGGGGAGCAAACGGGAUU